AUUGAACGCUGGCGGCAGGCCUAACACAUGCAAGUCGAGCGGAUGAGAAGAGCUUGCUCUUCGAUUCAGCGGCGGACGGGUGAGUAAUGCCUAGGAAUCUGCCUAGUAGUGGGGGACAACGUUUCGAAAGGAACGCUAAUACCGCAUACGUCCUACGGGAGAAAGUGGGGGAUCUUCGGACCUCACGCUAUUAGAUGAGCCUAGGUCGGAUUAGCUAGUUGGUAGGGUAAAGGCCUACCAAGGAGACGAUCCGUAACUGGUCUGAGAGGAUGAUCAGUCACACUGGAACUGAGAAACGGUCCAGACUCCUACGGGAGGCAGCAGUGGGGAAUAUUGGACAAUGGGCGAAAGCCUGAUCCAGCCAUGCCGCGUGUGUGAAGAAGGCCUUCGGGUCGUAAAGCACUUUAAGUUGGGAGGAAGGGCUCAUAGCGAAUACCUGUGAGUUUUGACGUUACCAACAGAAUAAGCACCGGCUAACUUCGUGCCAGCCGCCGCAGUAA
Molecule: ribosomal RNA, 500 nt
Filed under: uncultured bacterium
Lineage: Bacteria
Description: partial 16S ribosomal RNA
Rfam family: Bacterial small subunit ribosomal RNA
Source: RNAcentral